This 71-nucleotide transfer RNA is filed under the name Phytophthora nicotianae INRA-310. RNAcentral's name for it is "Phytophthora parasitica INRA-310 tRNA". It matches the Rfam family "tRNA". From Rfam's summary of the family: Transfer RNA (tRNA) molecules are approximately 80 nucleotides in length. Their secondary structure includes four short double-helical elements and three loops (D, anti-codon, and T loops). The record is from Rfam by way of RNAcentral. RNAcentral also lists the same sequence under 1 other name. Lineage: Eukaryota; Oomycota; Peronosporomycetes; Peronosporales; Peronosporaceae.
GCCUUCGUAGCUCAAUGGUAGAGCGUUGACUUUGAAAGCCAAGGGUUGGUGGUUCGAUCCCGUCCGGGACA